Molecule: long non-coding RNA, 370 nt
Filed under: Mustela putorius furo (domestic ferret)
Lineage: Eukaryota; Metazoa; Chordata; Mammalia; Carnivora; Mustelidae
Description: lncRNA (ENSMPUG00000028227.1)
Source: RNAcentral
CGAUACUCCCGUAGCAGGGAUAAAAUAGAUUCCAAAUGGAAAAUAAACUCGCAGAGCAUACGUACAGGAAGACAAGAGAAGGGGAGGGAAAAUAAGCCAAACCUGCAGGAAACAACACAACAAAGCGAAAGUGAGGGAAAAGGAAAACCUUCCCAGGAACAAUCUGAACAGACUUCUUAGAUCCCAUUGGCAGAACUGACUCAUGGAUCCAACUGACAUUGGCUGCCCCUUAUGCCGUGGACACUGGGAAGGCAAGGAAGAUGACGGCUGUGAUUGGCUCUGACAAGUUUCAGUCUCCAUCAGAUCCAGCGAGGCAAAAUCCAUCACCAUUCUGAACCAAUGCUGAGGAAAGGAAGAAAGGAAAAUGGAU